GCCCAAUGCUCAGGUCCAGGGAUGAGGGGCUCCUUGCUGACAUGCUGGUGCUAAGCCAGAACUGGCAGACUAAGCAGGGGAUAUAGCAGGGGGAGGAGAUACUCUGUCACCGCUCAGACCCUUCACUACCCUUCAGCUAGUCUCCAGAAGCACCCCAGGCCAGGAACUGAGCAGGACUUCUCCUGUAUUACUAUGCUUUAAAUCACAGCUGCUAAUCAAAAUUUUGGAGGCAAAGCAGAAAUACCAAAAUAUGGACACAACAAAUAAGAAUGAAUUUAGGCUGGUAAAUCAGGGAGUCAAAAUGGAUGGUGGGGUCAUUUCCAGGAGGAAGGUUCAAAAUUGUUUAAAAGGGCUCCAGUACCCAUGCUCCUUCAGUUGCUCUGCUUUGUUUCUCCAUCUCCAUCCUCAGCGGUGAAUUGGCUUCUCCCGCCCUGCAGAAAGAUGUGCUCUUGCUGCUCUGGAUGUCAUGGCACUGAUGAGACCAUCUGCUAUGUGCAGCCCGUCUGCUGUGAGCCGGUCUACAUCCAGAGGUCUUUGGAGUCGUGCUGCCAGCCCUGUGGCUCUUGCUGCGGCUCCUGCUGCGGGGGGUCAAGAUCCUGCCCCCGGGUGGUGAUCCAAAGACGGCCCAUGCCGGUGUGCUGCCCCCCACUGCAAUACUCAGCCCCCAUGCAUCAGUGCUGCUUGCCCCUGAAGAAGUGCUGAGCCUGCAAACAGCAGCGCAAGCUGCUCUUCAAGUUGUCAACACAGCAGCUGAAGCCAUAGGAACAACCUGCCAAUUCCUUUCUGGACCAUGUGAUGCUGGAUGAAGUGCCUCAGGCUUUUUCUUUUGUUUCUAAUCUUGCAGCAUCUUUCUCUACCAAGGUGUGUGACCGCACCCCCCCAACCCCCUUUUGAAGAUGUUACCAACUUGUAUAAGUGUAAAGUAUUCUCAACGUGUGUUAAUCCUGCUGUUAAUUUUGGUGCAUAGGAAACAGAAUACCCUAUGCUGUUAAUGCUUCAUUUGCUAUUUUCUUGCUCCGUUUUCCAACAGUACACAAUAAAACUGGCAAUUCAUGACAA
Long non-coding RNA from Alligator mississippiensis (American alligator), 1059 nucleotides. RefSeq lists it as uncharacterized. The record is from RefSeq and is a predicted model, not a curated record. NCBI's taxonomy places the organism in Eukaryota, Metazoa, Chordata, Crocodylia, Alligatoridae. The transcript has 2 exons.